AAAAAAAUAGAGACAGAGAACAUAGGCAUAAAACUACUUUUUUUUUUCACACUCGACCAGAUAAAACAUGUCCGAAGUUUUGUUCGUUAUUCAUAAUCUCAUAAGCAUCUACGUUAUAUGCCGGAGGGUUACUUCAAACACAUGAAGACCAGAGUUGACUUUCUAGACAAAGAAAACUACGUGGGCAAGUUCACUUUGGUUGAGGGAGACGCACUUGGUCACGAGCUUGAAAAGGUAUGUUAUGAGAUGAAAUUUGAGGACACAAAAGGAUGGAGGAUGUGUUCUCAAGAUCUCCAGUGAGUAUCAUUCCAAGGGUGAUGUUAUACUUAAAGAAGAGGAUAUUAAAGCAACCUUGGAACAUACCAUGGGACUCUACAAGUCUUGUGCGGAUUACCUGAUUGCCAAUCCUCAUAUUUGUGUCUAAAUAAUUUCCAAUUAUGUUUCUUAUUUUCUAUAUUUCCUUAAUAAAGAACUUUGUUCUACUCUUCCAUUGAAGUUUGUUCUUAUCCAACUGUCAUCAAAAUUUACGGUACAACAUUAAGAUGCAAUUUUAGCAAAGUUC
This 562-nucleotide long non-coding RNA is filed under the name Olea europaea subsp. europaea. The record is from RNAcentral. Lineage: Eukaryota; Viridiplantae; Streptophyta; Magnoliopsida; Lamiales; Oleaceae.